RNAcentral lists this ribosomal RNA (433 nucleotides) under uncultured bacterium. RNAcentral's name for it is "partial 16S ribosomal RNA". It matches the Rfam family "Bacterial small subunit ribosomal RNA", at positions 29 to 507 of the family's 1533-position model. The record is from RNAcentral.
AACGAACGCUGGCGGCAUGCCUAACACAUGCAAGUCGAACGAGACCUUCGGGUCUAGUGGCGCACGGGUGCGUAACGCGUGGGAACCUGCCCUUAGGUUCGGAAUAACUCCCCGAAAGGGGUGCUAAUACCGGAUAAUGUCUUCGGACCAAAGAUUUAUCGCCUUUGGAUGGGCCCGCGUUGGAUUAGCUAGUUGGUAGGGUAAAAGCCUACCAAGGCGACGAUCCAUAGCUGGUCUGAGAGGAUGAUCAGCCACACUGGGACUGAGACACGGCCCAGACUCCUACGGGAGGCAGCAGUGGGGAAUAUUGGACAAUGGGCGAAAGCCUGAUCCAGCAAUGCCGCGUGAGUGAUGAAGGCCUUAGGGUUGUAAAGCUCUUUUACCCGGGAUGAUAAUGGCAGUACCGGGAGAAUAAGCUCCGGCUAACUCCGUG